CAAUAGCGUAUAUUAAUGUUGUUGCAGUUAAAAAGCUCGUAGUUGGAUUUCGAAUGGGAGCGGUGGGUCGGGUCCGCAAGGGCUCGUUACCUGUUUCGUCUCCGGUUCUUUUUCGGGAUUUGUUUCUGGCGUGGCUGGCAUUGAGUUGUCGGUGGCGUCGGGCCCGUCGUUUACUGUGAACAAAUUAGAGUGUUCAAAGCAAGGUGUGUCUUGAAUACAUUAGCAUGGAAUAAUGAGAUAGGACUUUGGUGGUUUCGGUGAAGGCCGGAUAUUUUGUCGGUUUGCACGCCAAAGUAAUGAUUAAUAGGAGCAGUUGGGGGUAUUCGUAUUCAAUUGUCAGAGGUGAAAUUCUUGGAUUUCUAGAAGACGAACUACUGCGAAAGCAUUUACCAGGGAUGUUUUCAUUAA
RNAcentral lists this ribosomal RNA (408 nucleotides) under uncultured eukaryote. Its description in RNAcentral is "partial 18S ribosomal RNA". It matches the Rfam family "Eukaryotic small subunit ribosomal RNA", at positions 592 to 976 of the family's 1831-position model. The record is from RNAcentral.